UAUUGUAUUGCGUUAGACGCGGCAUACAUUCCAUAAGACUUUAUUACAGAGUGUGUGUAAAGACGUAGAACCACGGCAGGAAGACAGGGUCCCCCAGACCAUAGAACUACGGAGGGUGCACAGGUGUGAGUGGAUGUGUAAACAGAGCGUGCACAUGUCCCCGUUUGAAGACCAGCAACAACCCGUUUGACAAUUCGGUAAUGAUCCUUCCGCAGGUUCACCUACGGAAA
RNAcentral lists this unclassified non-coding RNA (230 nucleotides) under uncultured fungus. RNAcentral describes it as "sequence contains ITS1". The record is from RNAcentral. Lineage: Eukaryota; Fungi.